RNAcentral lists this microRNA precursor (84 nucleotides) under Bombyx mori (domestic silkworm). RNAcentral's name for it is "mir-2807 microRNA precursor family". It matches the Rfam family "mir-2807 microRNA precursor family". Lineage: Eukaryota; Metazoa; Arthropoda; Insecta; Lepidoptera; Bombycidae. The record is from Rfam by way of RNAcentral.
UUAGCUCAUAUUUGUAUGGUAUGGGAUCGUUUGCCUAAAUUUGCCGUUAGGGGCGCUGUUCCAACUGCAUACAAAAUUGGGCUA